ACAAUUUUCUUGUAUGUGCAGCCCAUUUGGACACUCUUAACUGAAAACUGUGCUCCUGGUUCUUGGGCAUUUGGACUCAGACUGAGACUGACACCAUCACCUCUGAUGUCCAGGCCUUCAGACUCAGACUGGACAGCACUACUGGCUUUCCUAGUCUCCAGCUUCCAGUCAGCAGAUUGUGACACUUCUCAGCCUCCAUCACCAUCCCAGUAGCGACUGCCCAUCAAGCGCAUCAUUUGCUAAAUUCUGGCAACAGAGACCACAGGGGCAGGUGGUAAAGAUGAAAUGAGUACAGGUUUCCAGGUGAGCACAGCUUGGGCCUAAGCUUUGUUGACACUAAAAUAAUGAUAAGUGUUAAGCACUUGUGCGGAAAGACUACUGUGGAGUCUACUUGAUGAGAAGCUGGGUGUCCACUUGAGAAAAGACUUCCAUGAAGGAUGAAAGAGUUGCUCCAAAGAGUGGGCCACAGGCUGUGGCUGAUCAUCAUGCCCUUCAAUGCUAGUAGAUCCCAUUCAGCUCCUGUAAGCUGUGAAAUGUGAUGGCUCUGAGUUUGAAGGCUGGUGAAGGACUGUGCCUGUUAUUCAGACACUUGUUUUGAUUGAGAUCAGGUGCUCACUAAAAUCUCCCUGGAAAUUUGAGAAUUCAAGUUGUAACACUGGGUAGCCAAGCCAAAUAGUUGAUGAAUUUGAUUAAAGUUUAUGUCUGUGAGUGGGGCAUCAGAUUGGAGAGAGACAUUUUUAUGCUUUGGGACAAUUUUAUUGGCAUCUCUUUUCCCUUUAAAGGAAGAUAAGGGAGCACUCACCCAUUCAUCCUUCUAUCCAUCCUUCCACCCAUCCUUACUUUCUUUAACCAUCCAUCCAUCCCAUUCCUGUUCUCUCUACUUGUUUGAGAUUCUUUUCACUGGGCAGGCAAGUUCUUUCACAUGGCAAGGAACAGUGGCUAUGGGCAGCCCCAGAUUAUUCAGUUACUGUGUUUGUAAGAGUGGUUACUCCAAUUGGUAAGAUGUCCAUCCAUGUGACCAGAGCAGAAGAGAAAAAGAAAGGAAUACAUAUGUCAGGAAAACAAACUAACAAGCCACAGUAGCUAUUAUACUCCAAUCUGCACUCCCUCCCAUCCCCCACUGACAUGAGACUUCCAAGUUAAAGCCUCCGACACUGGUGAAAAGGAAGUAUGGAUAUAUACAUGUACACACACACAUGCUUGUUCAUACAAACACAUGCAUAUAUAUUAGCUGAUUAAUGCUUUGAGGAAAAAAUAGUUCUGAAGUUUAGAGU
This is a long non-coding RNA of Talpa occidentalis (Iberian mole), 1274 nucleotides long. RefSeq lists it as uncharacterized. The transcript has 3 exons. The record is from RefSeq and is a predicted model, not a curated record. Lineage: Eukaryota; Metazoa; Chordata; Mammalia; Eulipotyphla; Talpidae.